Non-coding RNA from Vicugna pacos (alpaca), 321 nucleotides. The record is from RefSeq and is a predicted model, not a curated record. NCBI's taxonomy places the organism in Eukaryota, Metazoa, Chordata, Mammalia, Artiodactyla, Camelidae.
UCUUCUGAUCUCUUAGCCACAGUCCCACACCCUGUAUACUCCUCAUCCCCUGUAAUCUUCCUGGCGGUAUCUGAUCACCUUGGUCUGCCUUCGGCAAGAAUCCUGUUAGGUCAGUUAGAAUCCCCCUUACCCCUGGUGUUUCCUCUUAGCAGUUUUCACUCACGGACCCCCAUCCCACUCCUUGGCUGUAGUUCCCACUCGCCCAUCCUGCAUUCUGAGUGGAACCCAAUUUCUCCCUCACUGCAAAUUUCUGUCAAAUUGGCCCCUAUACCUGUAUUGAUAGCUCCCUACUUUUGAAUAAAAUCUUCCUUUAAGUGCAAA